RNAcentral lists this transfer RNA (64 nucleotides) under Cavia porcellus (domestic guinea pig). It matches the Rfam family "tRNA". Rfam says of the family: Transfer RNA (tRNA) molecules are approximately 80 nucleotides in length. Their secondary structure includes four short double-helical elements and three loops (D, anti-codon, and T loops). Lineage: Eukaryota; Metazoa; Chordata; Mammalia; Rodentia; Caviidae. The record is from Rfam by way of RNAcentral.
GGGGAUUUAGCUCAGUGGGAUAAGCGCGUGCUUGGCAAGCAUGAGGUUGUGAGUUCAAUCCCUG